CUUAUUACCAUGCAGUCGAACGAGAAUCCUCGGGUUAGCAAUCAUGUGAUGGUCCUAGCGGCGCACGGGUGAGUAACACGUGGGUAACCUGCCCUUGAGACCGGGAUACCCCUUCGAAAGGGGGGCUAAUACCGGAUACGUUCCCUGGGUCGAAAGAUCUGAGGAAGAAAGGUGGCGCAAGCUGCCGCUCUUGGAGGGGCUCGCGGCCUAUCAGCUAGUUGGCGGGGUAACGGCCCACCAAGGCUAUGACGGGUAGCUGGUCUGAGAGGACGACCAGCCACACGGGGACUGAGACACGGCCCCGACUCCUACGGGAGGCAGCAGUGGG
This 328-nucleotide ribosomal RNA is filed under the name uncultured bacterium. RNAcentral's name for it is "bacterial SSU rRNA". It matches the Rfam family "Bacterial small subunit ribosomal RNA", at positions 54 to 354 of the family's 1533-position model. The record is from RNAcentral.